AGUCAUAUGCUUGUCUCAAAAACUAAGCCAUGCAUGUCUAAGUAUAAAUGCUAUACAGUGAAACUGCGAAUGGCUCAUUAAAACAGUUAUAGUUUAUUUGGUAAUCGAAUUUACAUGGAUAACCGUGGUAAUUCUAGAGCUAAUACAUGCUGUAAUGCCCGACUUUUUGGAAGGGCCGUAUUUAUUAGAUAUCAACCAAUAAGACUUGUUNUAUUGNGGUGAAUCAUAGUAACUGAUCNGAUCGCANGCAAGCCCUGCNACAAACCAUUCAAGUUUCUGCCCCAUCAGCUUACGAUGGUAGUGUAUUGGACUACCAUGGCUUUUACGGGUAACGGAGGAUUANGGUUCNAUUCCNGAGAGGGAGCCUGANAAACGGCUACCACAUNUAAGGAAGGCANNAGGCGCGUAAAUUACCCAAUCCUGACUCAGGGAGGNAGUGACAAGAAAUANCGGGUCGGAGUUUAACACCGGGACUGAAAUGAGACGAAUUUACACCCCUUAUCNANGACCGAUUGGAGGGCAAGUCUGGUGCCAGCANCCGCGGUAAUUCCAGCUCCAA
This 559-nucleotide ribosomal RNA is filed under the name uncultured eukaryote. RNAcentral's name for it is "partial 18S ribosomal RNA". It matches the Rfam family "Eukaryotic small subunit ribosomal RNA", at positions 22 to 594 of the family's 1831-position model. The record is from RNAcentral.